RNAcentral lists this ribosomal RNA (492 nucleotides) under uncultured bacterium. RNAcentral describes it as "partial 16S ribosomal RNA". It matches the Rfam family "Bacterial small subunit ribosomal RNA", at positions 29 to 507 of the family's 1533-position model. The record is from RNAcentral.
AGUGAACGCUGGCGGUAUGCCUAAUACAUGCAAGUCGAACGAAAACACAGUAAGCUUUUGCUCUUACGGUUGGCGACUGACGGAUGGGUGACGAAUACAUCGCAUUCUUCUUUUUCGUGGGUGAUAUCGUAGGACAACUUACGCUACUACCGCAUACGAUCUACGGGUGAAUGCAGGGGUUCUUCGCACCUUUCGUGUUUGUUUGAGCUGAUGCCGGAUUAGCUAGUUGGCUUGGUAAAGGCCCACCAAGGCGACGAUCCGUAGCUGGUCUGAGAGGAUGAUCAGCCACACUGGAACUGAGACACGGUCCAGACUCCUACGGGAGGCAGCAGUAGGGAAUAUUGGACAAUGGGCGAAAGCCUGAUGCAGCAAUACCGCGUGAGUGAAGAAGGUCUUCGGGUUGUAAAGCCCUGUUAUUAGGAAAGAAAAGCAGCAGGAGAAAACACGGAUGUUCUGACGGUACCCAAAGAAAAAGCAACGGCUAACUACGUG